UACGGAGGGGGCCAGCGUUGUUCGGAAUUAUUGGGCGUAAAGGGCGCGUAGGCGGCCUUCUAAGUCGAACGUGAAAUCCCUGGGCUCAACCCAGGAACUGCGUCCGAUACUGGGAGGCUUGAAUCCGGGAGAGGGAUGUGGAAUUCCAGGUGUAGCGGUGAAAUGCGUAGAUAUCUGGAGGAACACCGGUGGCGAAGGCGGCAUCCUGGACCGGUAUUGACGCUGAUGCGCGAAAGCCAGGGGAGCAAACGGG
This 253-nucleotide ribosomal RNA is filed under the name uncultured bacterium. RNAcentral's name for it is "partial 16S ribosomal RNA". It matches the Rfam family "Bacterial small subunit ribosomal RNA", at positions 524 to 776 of the family's 1533-position model. The record is from RNAcentral.